This 565-nucleotide ribosomal RNA is filed under the name uncultured bacterium. RNAcentral describes it as "bacterial SSU rRNA". It matches the Rfam family "Bacterial small subunit ribosomal RNA", at positions 338 to 916 of the family's 1533-position model. The record is from RNAcentral.
CCUACGGGAGGCAGCAGUGGGGAAUAUUGGGCAAUGGAGGAAACUCUGACCCAGCGACGCCGCGUGCGGGAUGAAGGCCUUCGGGUUGUAAACCGCUUUCAGCAGGGAAGAAGCGAAAGUGACGGUACCUGCAGAAGAAGCACCGGCUAACUAUGUGCCAGCAGCCGCGGUAAUACAUAGGGUGCAAGCGUUGUCCGGAAUUAUUGGGCGUAAAGAGCUCGUAGGUGGUUCGUCACGUCGGAUGUGAAAAUCUGGGGCUUAACCCCAGACCUGCAUUCGAUACGGGCGAGCUUGAGUAUGGUAGGGGAGUCUGGAAUUCCUGGUGUAGCGGUGGAAUGCGCAGAUAUCAGGAGGAACACCAAUGGCGAAGGCAGGACUCUGGGCCAUUACUGACACUGAGGAGCGAAAGCGUGGGGAGCGAACAGGAUUAGAUACCCUGGUAGUCCACGCCGUAAACGGUGGGCACUAGUUGUGGGGACCUUCCAUGGUCUCUGCGACGCAGCUAACGCAUUAAGUGCCCCGCCUGGGGAGUACGAUCGCAAGAUUAAACUUAAUGAAUUGACGG